AGCGAACAUUGGCGGUAGGCUUAACACAUGCAAGUCGAGCGAGGCGUAAUAGUCGAGCGGCGAACGGGUGAGUAAUACAUGGGAAUCUACCUCGAAGUGGGGGAUAACAGCCAGAAAUGGCUGCUAAUACCGCAUAAUCCGGGAACGGGAAAGCGCGCUGCGCUUUGAGAUGAGCCCAUGGCUGAUUAGCUAGUUGGUGGGGUAAAGGCCUACCAAGGUGACGAUCAGUAGCUGGUCUGAGAGGAUGAUCAGCCACACUGGAACUGAGACACGGUCCAGACUCCUACAGGAGGCAGCAGUGGGGAAUCUUGCGCAAUGGGGGCAACCCUGACGCAGCCAUACCGCGUGUGCGAUGAAGGUCUUCGGAUUGUAAAGCACUUUCAGUAGGGACGACGAUGACGGUACCUACAGAAGAAGUCACGGCUAACUUCGUGCCAGCCGCCGCGGUAA
RNAcentral lists this ribosomal RNA (450 nucleotides) under uncultured bacterium. Its description in RNAcentral is "partial 16S ribosomal RNA". It matches the Rfam family "Bacterial small subunit ribosomal RNA", at positions 29 to 523 of the family's 1533-position model. The record is from RNAcentral.